Molecule: ribosomal RNA, 3363 nt
Filed under: Triticum aestivum (bread wheat)
Lineage: Eukaryota; Viridiplantae; Streptophyta; Magnoliopsida; Poales; Poaceae
Description: partial small subunit ribosomal RNA
Source: RNAcentral
AUGGUGCACUACCCUCCGCUGGCCCAGGUGCGCUUCCCAGGGGAGGUCCUCACGCAUGGGGACCCAGAUCUGCGGCCGGAGCGCGGUGGCGGAAUCAUCUCCCGCACCCCGGGUAUGGAUGCGCUGGAGGCGGACUUUCGCAGCCGGGCGCUGCUGGCCACGGUGGGGGGCCGGCGGCCGCCCAUCUCUCCGGAGGCCCUGGUCCAAUCCCUCGCCCGGAUCUGCGGCGUGGAGCGCCGGCAUGUCCGGGUGGAGGUCUCUCAUCCGGCGGAUUUCUUCAUCACUUUUGCCUCCACUUCGGACUGUGAUAGGGUCUUCCUCGACUCCGGCAAGCUGCGCUGCAAGGGGGCGCCUAUCGCGUUCCAGCGUUGGCACCGGAGCGCGCUUGCCUCCAGUGGCUCUAUGGAGUUCUUUUGCCGGCUGGGGAUUGAGGGGCUGCCGGCGAAUGCGUGGGAGUGGGGCGCCAUCAGCCAGCUGCUCAACAAUCUCAAUGGCCAGCUGGUUGAAAUCCUUCCGCCGGAUGACCGGUGGCAACUCCAGGUCACUGCCUGGUUGAAGAAUCUGUCGGCGGUCCCGAAGAUCUAUGAUUUGGAGAUUCCGGAGCCGGUGGGCUUACUGGCCUCCUUCGAAGAAGACAACCCGGCAUCUCCUCCUCUCCCUGCCCCGCCGACUGAGAGGAUCACGCUCAUCCACCCGCUCACCAUCCAUGUCAUCGAUGUGGUGGAUCGUACUGUCCCAUACUUGGAGCUGCGCCCCAAUUUCCAACCAGAUGACGACGAGGAUCUCACAAGGCGGCACGACUAUUCGAGAAGCUGCUACUGGGGCAGGAUUGAUGGUACCGGAAGGGGAAAUGUGCCCAACUCCGGUGGGCAUCCGUUCGGCGGGCCUGGUGGCUAUGGCAUGGCAGGCGACUGGGGAGGUGGCCCCAGGGUCAUGGGUGUCCUGGCGCCGGCAGGGGGAAUGGCGAUACCCGCGCGCCUCCUUGCUCCGGGGUCUGCUCAUCCUCGGGAAGCUCCGGUCCAGGCGACGCGCUCGACGCUGAUGACGGCCUCUGGGAGGCCUGGCUCGUGGUCCUCUUCGGCGGCCACAGCAGGUGCGCACGCUGGCUUGCCGGCUGGGAAUGUGGCUGGGAGUCCAGUCACCGGGUCGCCCCUGGCCGCUGUGCGCUCUUGUGGUUCUCUGGCAUCAACUGCUGUUGGCUCGAGGGCCCUGGCAGACACGCCCUUGCUGCUCGGCUCCGAGGCUUCCACUGCAGUUGGAUCUAAGGCACUUGGAAGCACGCCUCCCGUUCGGAAUUCCGCGCUCUGGGGCACACCGCCGCAUCGAAGGCUGUCCUUUAGCCCGACGUCUCAAAUGCAGGCGGGGAAAGGCACUCAGGAGAUGGCGGGGAUGAUACACGCUGACCAGGCUGGGGAAGAGGAGGUGGAGGUUCAGGGAUGCCUGGGGCACCCACAAGCUCACCAAGAGGACAACACCGACUUGCUCCAGGAGGUGGGCUUAUCCGUGCGGGUAGCGCUGACUCGCAGUGCCAGCUCCAGCCCAAUCCAGACCCCCUUCGUCGUUCCUCUGCCUCAGCACAUGCUGCUGCCGCCGGCAUCGGCUAGGGUUGGAACGGGCACUAUGCAGGGGCCUAUGACGGCAUCAGAGACACUGAGGCUCGGCCUGGUGGCGCCCCCGGCGCCGUCCAUUCUUGGCCCCAGGCCGGCGGCGUCGGCCCCUGUCAAGCACAGGAAGGCCCUCCCGCCCAAUUUUACGCCCAGGAGGAGCGCUAGGCUGUGCAAAAAUGCACCAGCCCACAACACGGGGCCUGUGCAGCGGGCGCAAUCGGUGCUCCUGAAGCGGAUGGGGGUGAUUCAGGCUGAAGAACAGGUCUCUUCAGAAGCUCUGGACGAGUACCUCAAGCUGUUCGACAAGCCGCUUGCUCCACACCACGUCAAGGCAAUCACCACGAUCUUCGCUCCCGGGAAGAAAGAGGAGUUCAUGAUAUCGGCACAAGUUCUUUCUCUAGCAGAGGGCAAAGAGUGGUUGGUUUCUUCGGUGUAUGGGCCGCAAGAAGACACAGACAAAGCAAGAUUCCUUGAGGCAAUUGUGCAGUUUGGAGACCGCGUGAGCUUGCCGUGGAUCCUGAAGGGAGAUUUCAACAUUGUGUGCAACCCAGAGGAGCGCAGCACUGGGAGAGUAAACAGGAGGCUGAUGAAUAAGCUUCGGCACACGAUCAACAGGUUGGGGCUCCACGACAUGCCUCUGAUUGGGCGUCGCUUCUAUUGGUGCAAUCAACAGGAGAACGCCAUCUUGGCAAGGCUGGACCGUGUGCUCUUCAACAAUGCAUGGGAGGACUUGUACCCCAUCAGUGAUUUGCUUCCGCUUAGCUCCAGUAUCUCAGAUCACACCCCUCUGCUGCUCACCUGUUCGUCCAUACGACCAAGGGCUUUUCGGUUUCGCUUUGAGAAUUAUUGGUGCAAGCUGCCUGGCUUUUUGGAUGUGGUGAAAGACGCCUGGGCUCCAGAGCUCUUUGGGGAGGCGUCGGGGCUUCGGAUCAAUAUGCACAAGAGCACCAUCACUUGCAUACGAUGUGAUGAGGUGCAGGCUGCAGAGGUAGCUGGACACUUCCAGUGCAGGCAACAGGCCUUUCCUAUCUUAUAUCUCGGUAUACCUCUAUCGAUAUACAGGCUCAAGCGGCACGAGUUGCUGCCCUUGGUUGAUAAGCUCUCGUACAAGAUGAAGGGCUGGAAACCGAAGAUGUUGGCAGUUGCAGGCCGGCUCACGCUCACCUCUUCGGUCCUCAUGGCAGCGCUCCCGCUGCCGGCCUGGGCUAUCAAGACUAUUAAUCGCUGCUGCCGUGGAUUUAUUUGGAAGGGGGAGGAGGAGACUAGUGGUGGCCAUUGCCUUAUGCCUUGGAGCAGGGUGUGCAUGCCGCGGGAGCUCGGAGGUUUGGGUGUUUUGAAUAUCAAAUGGUUUGGGUUCGCGCUGCGCUGCAGAUGGCCUUGGUUACGUUGGAGUGUAGAGGAGCGGCCGUGGCAUGGCCUGCCUGAUACUAUGGAGAAGGAGGUCCACGCAAUCUUCAAUGCAGCCUGCCGCAUCACGCUCGGGUCAGGAGAGGUAGCCAAGUUCUGGACUGAUAAGUGGUUGGAUACCGGCUGCUCAAUUGCUCAAACAGCACCGCAACUCUACUCCUUCGUCAAGGACAGGGGGAGAUCUGUCAAGGAGGCGCUGACCGGGCAGGCUUGGGUACAUGACAUUGCGGGUGGGCUCUCCCUCCCUGCCAUUGCUCAGUACCUCUCGGUCUGGGAUAUUGCACACGCCACUGUGUUAAAUCCUGAGGCGAGAGACACGCCGCGAUGGCUCCUGACGGAAAAUCAGUAG